This 235-nucleotide ribosomal RNA is filed under the name uncultured bacterium. RNAcentral's name for it is "partial 16S ribosomal RNA". It matches the Rfam family "Bacterial small subunit ribosomal RNA", at positions 15 to 240 of the family's 1533-position model. The record is from RNAcentral.
GAUCCUGGCUCAGGACGAACGCUGGCGGCGUGCCUAAUACAUGCAAGUAGAACGCUGAAGAGAGGAGCUUGCUCUUCUUGGAUGAGUUGCGAACGGGUGAGUAACGCGUAGGUAACCUGCCUUGUAGCGGGGGAUAACUAUUGGAAACGAUAGCUAAUACCGCAUAACAAUGGAUGACCCAUGUCAUUUAUUUGAAAGGGGCAAAUGCUCCACUACAAGAUGGACCUGCGUUGUA